This is a long non-coding RNA of Strigops habroptila (Kakapo), 2060 nucleotides long. NCBI's taxonomy places the organism in Eukaryota, Metazoa, Chordata, Aves, Psittaciformes, Psittacidae. The record is from Ensembl.
GGUUCUAGGAAUGUUCUUCUGAGUUAGCCCUGGAGAAUAUUUAAAUUGUGUGUUAAUCCAUCCUCAAGCCCUGCUUCUUAAUACAAGACAUUCCCAGAAAGUGAUGGUUGAGUAAAGAGCAAUGAGAAUUGCAGCUACAUAUUAAAUAUAUAUACAUAUAUAUAAAAAAAAAAGUUAACUUUGCUUCUCCUCAGUCUCCUCACGUAUUACUUUAGCUUCCUUGAUGAUGGAGUCUUUGGAGCAAGGAGUGCAUAACCAUAUUUGCCUGGAAAGUGCCUGGCAAAGCCAGGGAGCAGGAACAUUGCAGCUCUGCCAGCCCAGCACACCCCAGCAGCAUCUCCCCAGACACUGGUGUGUGCUCUGCAGCAGCUGAUCAGCAUCUGCAUGGGACACAUAGACUGCCGACAUCAGGGGAAGCUGUAAAAACCUGGACCAUAUUUUCCGUCUUUUAUCGUAGACAGAUUGUGUAUAUGUUUGCGCCAUUCUUUUUCUCGAUGGUUACACCCUACCCAAAGAAUGAUGGAGACACAUGGAUGGAGCAUUCAGACCUGACUGCAGGUCUCUGAUCUGUUUGCCGGGUCAGAAACUCUCUGCUACCCACCAGAGCGUACUUUUUCCUUCACAGGGAUAAUUCUGGGCUAGACUGUUUUGUUUCCCUGUGUGCUGCUACAGAGCUACUCAGCCAUGUAUGUUUUCCUGUGUGGGUGGAGAUAAUCUCUGUGCCUUUGCCAGCACUUUAACUCUUUUGAAGCUAAGGGUCACAUACAAGUACUUUCUGCUGUCAGCCUGUGCUUCAAAGUUAUUUCAGACUUGCUUUGAGAAUGGAUUAUUUUAACACACUUUAUUACAUAAUCUUGUUUAAAGAACCUUCCUGCAAGUUUAGAAAUACAAAGUUAGCUAAUAAACCAUGUGCUGUUUUUUCUCAUGACUUUGUGAAUGAAUAAGGGUGGAAGGUGGACAGAUUUUCACUUCAGAUGUUAAUUCUGCACCAAUUUCAUGUAUUUCCCUUGUAUGUGCAAACCUUUUGUUUGCCAGGCAAAAGAAUGCACUGGUUUACAGUAGAGAGGCAAAUACAGAGAAUUUCUCACUACCUUGCCAGAGUUUGAGGUGUCUCGAGGACCAUCACCCCAAAGUUCAAAGCUCAUGCACUGGUCCUAAGUGUCAGGCAACUAGCCCAAAUUUCUUUGGAGAAGAAGGUGUGGAUUUUGAUCUGUCUCUUGGUAUUUCCAAGACUUUCUUGUCUUUGGAUGUUAGAUAGGGGAGAACUGUGGUACCCCCCACAUUUCUGGAAUGCAGUCCCUGAUGCAGAAGUUCUCAUCCUAUAUCUGUUUCCCCUUUCCAUUUCCAGCCUGUACACCAGUCCUUCUCUGCACACCCAUCCAGUCCCAGGUGUGCUCCUCUGCCUACUCAGGGAGUCCAUGAGACUUCAGACAGGGGAAACCACCAAGGGCUCCUUUAUUCCAUCCUCAUAGGUCUGGUGUUGCACAGAAAGACAAGAACGAAGACAGAUGAAGGCAAGCUGGAGUGAAUGGGCUUUUACUACUGAAUUCUCAUACCCAAAAGGUUAACCAAGUUACAACUAAGUAAGGACUGACAGUAAGUGUGGCCUCCAACAUCGAGGCCAGCAGCAUCACAAGAGCUGAGCUAUUGCCUAAUCAUACCGCAUGUUUUCACAGGAAAGUGGAAAAGACUGAAAUGUGUAUGAGCUACAGAAAAACAUUUUGACAACUGGAAAUGCCUGUAAUUUUCAACUUUUUAGCCUAGCAAUUAUUUCAUUGUGGAUUUAAAAAAAUAUUUCACGCAAAAGCUUUUAUUAACUUUUCCCUCAACAUUUCAAUUUUUCAGCAGCAGAAAUUUUAUAAAAAGGGGGAAAAAAUUCCCCUGCCACCAUCCCUCAAUUUAUUUUUUCAAACCUUUUUACUUCUUACUUAUGCCUUAUCUCUCCUUCCUCAUUCCCUGCCUCUUGAGACAUAAAUGCUGAUCAGAUGGGGUUUCCCUUCCAGACUGAGGAAGCUUUGUAGGGCUUCUCUCAUUUCAGAGAUCAGCUCCAGUCCCAGCAA